UGCUCCUACGGGGGGCAGCAGUGAGGAAUAUUGGUCAAUGGCCGGAAGGCUGAACCAGCCAAGCCGCGUGAAGGACGAAGGUGCCAAGCAUUGUAAACUUCUUUUGUCAAGGGACAAAAUCAGGCUCGAGAGCCUGACCGAGGGUACUUGAAGAAAAAGCAUCGGCUAACUCCGUGCCAGCAGCCGCGGUAAUACGGAGGAUGCGAGCGUUAUCCGGAUUUAUUGGGCGUAAAGCGAGUGCAGGCGGUUCAAUAA
Molecule: ribosomal RNA, 255 nt
Filed under: uncultured bacterium
Lineage: Bacteria
Description: partial 16S ribosomal RNA
Rfam family: Bacterial small subunit ribosomal RNA
Source: RNAcentral